Long non-coding RNA from Lepisosteus oculatus (spotted gar), 384 nucleotides. RefSeq lists it as uncharacterized. The record is from RefSeq and is a predicted model, not a curated record. Lineage: Eukaryota; Metazoa; Chordata; Actinopteri; Semionotiformes; Lepisosteidae.
AAGAUCUUGAGCCCAAAUCUGCUGAACAAGCCGCACCUCUGGACAGCGAACGAUUGCAAAGAAAGUGAGGCGAUUCAACUGGACUGGUACCAGGUGACGUGGGUGGUUUACGAGACUCUUGACGAGUUACAUCACUGGCAGCUGUUUGGACUGAGAUGUAGCCGCAGAAGACGGGUUAGACGAGGAUGGCAACACGGAAAGUGAUGUCCUCUGGCUGUCGUUGCUUCGAUUUACUUCGGUUCUUCUACUUUGCAAACAACGUGUAUUCCUGGGGGGAUUUUUAAAAAGUGCGACGAAGAAUACAGCUACUGAAAAACAAUCGAUAGACUUGCUUUGUACCGUAAGCAACUGCAAUAGGAAUAAUUAAAGCCAGUCUUAUCCAGA